Molecule: ribosomal RNA, 485 nt
Filed under: uncultured bacterium
Lineage: Bacteria
Description: partial 16S ribosomal RNA
Rfam family: Bacterial small subunit ribosomal RNA
Source: RNAcentral
GCCUAACACAUGCAAGUCGAGCGGCAGCAUGCUUAGUAGCAAUACUAAGUGAUGGCGAGCGGCGGACGGGUGAGGAACACGUAGGAACCUGCCCAAGAGAGGGGGACAACCAAUGGAAACGUUGGCUAAUACCGCAUAAUCUCUUAGGAGAAGAGUUGCCCGUAAGGGUAGCGCUUUUGGAGUGGCCUGCGUCCGAUUAGCUAGUUGGUGAGGUAAUGGCUCACCAAGGCUGUGAUCGGUAACUGGUCUGAGAGGACGACCAGUCACACUGGGACUGAGACACGGCCCAGACUCCUACGGGAGGCAGCAGUGGGGAAUCUUGGACAAUGGGGGCAACCCUGAUCCAGCGAUGCCGCGUGGGUGAAGAAGGCCUUCGGGUUGUAAAGCCCUUAGGCUGGGACGAAGGGACUGGGACGAAUAAUCCUGGUUUUUGACGGUACCAGCAGAAUAAGCACCGGCAAACUCUGUGCCAGCCGCCGCCGUAA